Molecule: ribosomal RNA, 429 nt
Filed under: Chloroflexota bacterium
Lineage: Bacteria; Bacillati; Chloroflexota
Description: Chloroflexi bacterium partial 16S ribosomal RNA
Rfam family: Bacterial small subunit ribosomal RNA
Source: RNAcentral
UGGGGAAUAUUGCACAAUGGGCGCAAGCCUGAUGCAGCCAUGCCGCGUGUAUGAAGAAGGCCUUCGGGUUGUAAAGCACUUUCAGCGGGGAGGAAGGCGUUAAGGUUAAUAACCUUGGCGAUUGACGUUACCCGCAGAAGAAGCACCGGCUAACUCCGUGCCAGCAGCCGCGGUAAUACGGAGGGUGCAAGCGUUAAUCGGAAUUACUGGGCGUAAAGCGCACGCAGGCGGUUUGUUAAGUCAGAUGUGAAAUCCCCGGGCUCAACCUGGGAACUGCAUCUGAUACUGGCAAGCUUGAGUCUCGUAGAGGGGGGUAGAAUUCCAGGUGUAGCGGUGAAAUGCGUAGAAAUCUGGAGGAAUACCGGUGGCGAAGGCGGCCCCCUGGACGAAGACUGACGCUCAGGUGCGAAAGCGUGGGGAGCAAACAGG